RNAcentral lists this long non-coding RNA (314 nucleotides) under Callithrix jacchus (white-tufted-ear marmoset). Its description in RNAcentral is "lncRNA (ENSCJAG00000078543.1)". The record is from RNAcentral. Lineage: Eukaryota; Metazoa; Chordata; Mammalia; Primates; Cebidae.
AAAUUAAAGAAAAAGCCAGAAAAAGUAAUUUAUAGUUAUGUUUUCAAGUAGAACCUAAGUAAUAUUAUCAGUAUUAAUUUUUUUCUUAAUAAUUAUAGAUUCUUAAAUUAACCUAUCAUAUAUAUGUAUAUUAUUACCUAAAUAUCCUUAAUUUAAAAAGAAAUAUAUAAAAUAUCGGCCGGGCGCGGUGGCUCAAGCCUGUAAUCCCAGCACUUUGGGAGGCCGAGGCGGGUGGAUCACGAGGUCAACAGAUCGAGACCAUCUUGGUCAACAUGGUGAAACCCCGAGAGUGGAAGAGCACACUGACAGGCACC